RNAcentral lists this ribosomal RNA (1531 nucleotides) under Escherichia coli. Its description in RNAcentral is "bacterial SSU rRNA". It matches the Rfam family "Bacterial small subunit ribosomal RNA". The record is from RNAcentral. Lineage: Bacteria; Pseudomonadati; Pseudomonadota; Gammaproteobacteria; Enterobacterales; Enterobacteriaceae.
AGAGUUUGAUCAUGGCUCAGAUUGAACGCUGGCGGCAGGCCUAACACAUGCAAGUCGAACGGUAACAGGAAGAAGCUUGCUUCUUUGCUGACGAGUGGCGGACGGGUGAGUAAUGUCUGGGAAACUGCCUGAUGGAGGGGGAUAACUACUGGAAACGGUAGCUAAUACCGCAUAACGUCGCAAGACCAAAGAGGGGGACCUUCGGGCCUCUUGCCAUCGGAUGUGCCCAGAUGGGAUUAGCUAGUAGGUGGGGUAACGGCUCACCUAGGCGACGAUCCCUAGCUGGUCUGAGAGGAUGACCAGCCACACUGGAACUGAGACACGGUCCAGACUCCUACGGGAGGCAGCAGUGGGGAAUAUUGCACAAUGGGCGCAAGCCUGAUGCAGCCAUGCCGCGUGUAUGAAGAAGGCCUUCGGGUUGUAAAGUACUUUCAGCGGGGAGGAAGGGAGUAAAGUUAAUACCUUUGCUCAUUGACGUUACCCGCAGAAGAAGCACCGGCUAACUCCGUGCCAGCAGCCGCGGUAAUACGGAGGGUGCAAGCGUUAAUCGGAAUUACUGGGCGUAAAGCGCACGCAGGCGGUUUGUUAAGUCAGAUGUGAAAUCCCCGGGCUCAACCUGGGAACUGCAUCUGAUACUGGCAAGCUUGAGUCUCGUAGAGGGGGGUAGAAUUCCAGGUGUAGCGGUGAAAUGCGUAGAGAUCUGGAGGAAUACCGGUGGCGAAGGCGGCCCCCUGGACGAAGACUGACGCUCAGGUGCGAAAGCGUGGGGAGCAAACAGGAUUAGAUACCCCUGGUAGUCCACGCCGUAAACGAUGUCGACUUGGAGGUUGUGCCCUUGAGGCGUGGCUUCCGGAGCUAACGCGUUAAGUCGACCGCCUGGGGAGUACGGCCGCAAGGUUAAAACUCAAAUGAAUUGACGGGGGCCCGCACAAGCGGUGGAGCAUGUGGUUUAAUUCGAUGCAACGCGAAGAACCUUACCUGGUCUUGACAUCCACGGAAGUUUUCAGAGAUGAGAAUGUGCCUUCGGGAACCGUGAGACAGGUGCUGCAUGGCUGUCGUCAGCUCGUGUUGUGAAAUGUUGGGUUAAGUCCCGCAACGAGCGCAACCCUUAUCCUUUGUUGCCAGCGGUCCGGCCGGGAACUCAAAGGAGACUGCCAGUGAUAAACUGGAGGAAGGUGGGGAUGACGUCAAGUCAUCAUGGCCCUUACGACCAGGGCUACACACGUGCUACAAUGGCGCAUACAAAGAGAAGCGACCUCGCGAGAGCAAGCGGACCUCAUAAAGUGCGUCGUAGUCCGGAUUGGAGUCUGCAACUCGACUCCAUGAAGUCGGAAUCGCUAGUAAUCGUGGAUCAGAAUGCCACGGUGAAUACGUUCCCGGGCCUUGUACACACCGCCCGUCACACCAUGGGAGUGGGUUGCAAAAGAAGUAGGUAGCUUAACCUUCGGGAGGGCGCUUACCACUUUGUGAUUCAUGACUGGGGUGAAGUCGUAACAAGGUAACCGUAGGGGAACCUGCGGUUGGAUCACCU